GUCAGCUGCUGUGCCACCUGCAGCUCAGCCCAGGUAACCCACCGGAAGCCAAGCAGGACCUGGCUAGUACUUGGGUGGGAGACCAGCUAGGAAAGCUGGGUUGCUGCUGGAG
RNAcentral lists this ribosomal RNA (112 nucleotides) under Paramormyrops kingsleyae. The record is from RNAcentral. Lineage: Eukaryota; Metazoa; Chordata; Actinopteri; Osteoglossiformes; Mormyridae.